AUAAAAGUUGUCAGUAGCAGAGGGAAGCAUGAAGUGCUGUAAGAUUUCUCAGGAAAACCAAACUGCACUGACUUUAGACUUGAUAAUAAAACACACUGGAUCAACACCAGCAGAUGACAUGUCUCUCCAAUUUGUAGGAUAACGUCCUGCAUGAAGGAAAGCUUUUGAGGGAGGUGAACAGUCUUUCUGAGAAGAACCACCAGUUAAAGAACAAGGUACAGGAGCUGAAAGUAGUAUGUUUUUGUUUGCACUUGUUUUGUGGUGUGUGUGUGUGUGUGUUAAUGUGAUGUGUGUAUUCUUGUGCUAGCUAGAAGAGCGUGAGCGACGCUGCAAAUCUCAGCAAGAUCAAAUCUUCGAGCUGAAGCAAGAGCUCACAAACUCCACUGCAGAGCUGAAACUACGCUUAGCCCAGGCUGAAGGUACCAUCAUCUCACAUCUUCUUGUCUCUCUCUUUAACACAUUCACACACACUCACACACUCACACACACACAGUAUCUCAGACAGAUGUUGUUUCAUCAGGGUGCUUUCUUAACAGAGCGCUUGGACAUGGAGAAGAGAAGAGCCAAGCAGGCUCUUGAAGACAUGGACAGUUUACGGCAGAAAGAGGUAGAUCACAUUAACAGGCAUCUGGAAGAAAGUGAGAGAGCACUACAAGAUCGUAUUCUCAAACUGGAGGGUCAGCGGAUCCAGCUGGAGGAGGCAAGAUUAAAUCACCUUUUAGAACUUUUGACCUGGACUAAAUGCUUUAUGAGAGAGACAGGAUUUACUUAGUUUUGAGCUGACCAUCUUGCUUUAUUUUCACGCAGGAGCUGAGCCGAGUGAAGGCCGCUAUAGUGACGGAGAGAGCACAGGCAGAGGAAGAGCUCGGGAAAGUGAGAACGCAAGUGCGGCUGGAGGAGGUACAGAGCUCCACCAAUAGAGCUGAAUUACCCCUAUAGACUGAUAUAGGCUAAAUGUGUGGGGCUAAAGUGCUGUAGGCUGGAAAGGAGUCAAGGGUCAAUAUUUAAUUGAAGAUUGUAUAGCUCUGGAGCAAAAAUAAGAGAUCACUUCAGUUUCUAAAACAUUUGUUGUUUUAUUCUAUAAACUAAACACAACAUUUCUACCAAAUUCCAAAUACAAAUAUUGUCAUUUAUAUAGAGCAUUUAUAUGCAGAAGAUGAGAAAUGGCUGAAAUAACAAAAAAGAUGCAGAGCUUUCAGACCUUAUAUAAUGCAAAGAAAACAAGUUCAUAUUCAUCAAGUUUGAGAGUUGAGAAAUCAAUAUUUG
Molecule: long non-coding RNA, 1266 nt
Filed under: Astyanax mexicanus (Mexican tetra)
Lineage: Eukaryota; Metazoa; Chordata; Actinopteri; Characiformes; Acestrorhamphidae
Description: lncRNA (ENSAMXG00005001714.1)
Source: RNAcentral